AGGGCGCGAGCGUUGUCCGGAAUUAUUGGGCGUAAAGAGCUCGUAGGCGGCUUGUCGCGUCGGAUGUGAAAGCCCGGGGCUUAACCCCGGGUCUGCAUUCGAUACGGGCAGGCUAGAGUUCGGUAGGGAGAUCGGAAUUCCUGGUGUAGCGGUGAAAUGCGCAGAUAUCAGGAGGAACACCGGUGGCGAAGGCGGAUCUCUGGGCCGAUACUGACGCUGAGGAGCGAAAGCGUGGGGAGCGAACAGGAUUAGAUCCCUGGUAGUCCACGCCGUAAACGUUGGGAACUAGGUGUGGGCGACAUUCCAUUGUCGUCCCGUGCGCGCAGCUAACCGCAUUAAGUUCCCCGCCUGGGGAGUACGGCCGCAAGGCUAAAACUCAAAGAAUUGACGGGGGCCCGCACAAGCAGCGGAGCAUGUGGCUUAAUUCGACGCAACGCGAAGAACCUUACCAAGGCUUGACAUACACCGGAAAACUCUGGAGACAGGGUCCCCCUUGUGGUCGGUGUACGGUGGUGCAUGGCUGUCGUCAGCUCGUGUCGUGAGAUGUUGGGUUAAGUCCCGCAACGA
RNAcentral lists this ribosomal RNA (567 nucleotides) under Streptomyces sp. A1839. RNAcentral's name for it is "bacterial SSU rRNA". It matches the Rfam family "Bacterial small subunit ribosomal RNA", at positions 529 to 1095 of the family's 1533-position model. The record is from RNAcentral. Lineage: Bacteria; Bacillati; Actinomycetota; Actinomycetes; Kitasatosporales; Streptomycetaceae.